Molecule: long non-coding RNA, 2050 nt
Organism: Schistocerca nitens (vagrant locust)
Lineage: Eukaryota; Metazoa; Arthropoda; Insecta; Orthoptera; Acrididae
Exons: 3
Source: RefSeq, a predicted model, not a curated record
UUUUUUCUCUGUGCAAAAACGUGAAAAUUCGAAAUGUUUAAUAUGUGGCAGUAUUCUCGCUGGUCAGCGGAAGUUUAGUAUUGAAGGCCAUUAUAACAAAUUUCACAAGGACGAGUACAAUUUAUUGUCGGAUUCUGAGCGGAUGGGGAAAUUGACUGAGCUUAAGAAGAGCGAUCUGACGAUACUAGAUGAAUCUGUCGUAGUUGCUGUGGUCACUAGAGAUCUGCGACUUCCUUUCGUCAUGUCUCUCAUCUAACUGAUUUAAUAUUUUAUGGAGCACUGUUUUCAAUUUUUCAGGACGACAACAAUAAUAGCCCAGCGGUACGUGAAAGUUAUAAGAUUGCGCUUAAUAUAGCGAGAGCUGGAAAACCAUUUGCUGAAUUACUACCUUGCUAUGACAUCAAGGGCCAUAGUGGGAUUGAAAUAUUUGAAGAAGGAUCCACUAUAAUAAGAGUCAUGAAUCCAUGGUGAAAUGGAUGAUGCCAAUGAGGCUGAAUUGAGCUAGCAUUUGUGGUGCACGUGUGUUAGACAAGCUGGUCCAAGUCACAGCAAAUGUGGUCGAGGAGAAACCUGAUAAUAGUCUGUGCACUUGUCUUUCCUGCAACCAUGGGAUUGUUUUGGUAAUUGCAAGUGGCCUGAGCAGGGUUGCCCACUCCUGACCAGCCAAUAGGGUGAUGCAGAUUCUCACUCAGCCUCUGUAAUAUUUAACUGAGCUGGAUGUUCUGGUAUGGUGGUACCCAAAUUUUCUGAGCUUAAGUUUUCAAGGGUACUCUACUGCUUUGUUUUUACUUGAUGUUAUUGUAACCAAUUGCCAACAAUCAGCAGUAAUUGCUCAAUGUUAGCAUAUGGUGCUGCACAUUUUAGUGAUUUGGAUUGAGAUCGAGCUAAACUUACGCUGCAGUGUUGUUCUCCGGCAUGUCAGGGUAGAAGUGUGCACAGAAUCAUCUAAGUGAAAAAUCCAGGCAAUUUACAUGUUUAUUUAUAUAUAAAAGGCUGACUUAUGAAUUUUCCCUUGUGUGAAACAGCUUAUAAAAUAUUGUGCACUGAUUUAAAGUUCUAGAUUCACAUAUUUUAAUGUUUGUAUCACUUUUCCUGUGUAAUCUUUCUUGUAUCAAUACCUGUUUCUAUUGUGAUAUAUUGUGAAACUUUGAACAUUUGUGAGUGCUGUGAUAAACUAGUACUGUUAUCGUUAAAGGCUUAAACUAAAUUAUGCUCCAGAAUGAGAUUAUCACUCUGCAGUGAAGUAUGUGCUGAUAUAAAACUUCUUGGCAGAUUAAAACUGUGUACCAGACCGAGACUCGAACUCAGGACCUUUGCCUUUUGCAGGCAAGUGCUCUACCAACUGAGCUACCCAAGCACGACUCACGCCCCAUCCUCACAGCUUCAAUUCCACCAGUACUUCAUCUCCUACCUUUCAAACUUCACAGAAGCUCUCCUGCAAACUUUGCAGAACUAUCACUCCUGGAAGAAAGGAUAUUGUGGAGACAUGGCUUAGCCACGGACUGGGGGAUGUUUCCAGAAUGAGAUUUUAACUCUGCAGCAGAGUGUGUGCUGAUAUGAAAUCUCCUGGCAGAUUAAAACUGUGUACUGGACCGAGACUCGAACUUGGGACCUUUGCCUUUUGUGGGCAAGUGCUCUACCAUCUGAGCACCCAAGCAAGACUCAUGCCCCAUCCUCACUUCCUUACUUCUGCCAGUACCUCAUCUCCUACCUUCCAAACUUCACAGAAGCUCUUCUGCAAACCCUGCAGAACUAGCACUCCUCGAAGAAAGGAUAUGUGUUCUUUAAGAAUUUUUGAGGGCAGUAGGUCUGUCCUCAUUCAAAACUAUGUUUCUCUAAUUUGAUUGUACAAUUACUUGAGAAACAGGUUAGUUUCUGAAUUUUUGGACACUUACAAAAGUAUAUUUGCAUAAGUUAGCCUUACAAGUGUUCUGGUUACACAAUUUAAUUCAUAGCACAUCAACAUUUGUGGUUCACAGUUCAGCCAAAGUAUACAUCACCCCUGAAUUUCAUUGUAUGUCAAUGAAAAUAAACAUGUAUUUUUUGAGGA